Long non-coding RNA from Centropristis striata (black sea bass), 1004 nucleotides. RefSeq lists it as uncharacterized. The record is from RefSeq and is a predicted model, not a curated record. NCBI's taxonomy places the organism in Eukaryota, Metazoa, Chordata, Actinopteri, Perciformes, Serranidae. The transcript is spliced from 3 exons.
GACUGUUUUUUGCCGUAAAGAUUGAGUCAAAAGUACGUGCCGCACGCUAGCAUACGUUACUCUCAUUUAGCAACUAUGUGGACAAAAGUUUAGCUUUCUGUUGAAGCACAUUACUUAAGUUAGCAUAAGUUGGCUUGGGCAUUUGAGUUGUUGUCAGAUCUAAUUAAGGUGGGCUACAAGAUUCUAUUUUACCAUUUGUUGUUUUACUUUUUCAAGUAAAACGGUUUAUGGGAGUUUAUAGGGAGAAGCUUGUUAUGCAGGUUGAUGCAAAAAGCUAAAAAGUAGCUUCAAAUAUGCACUAAUGUAAUAUACAGUAGCUAAAAGUUAGUUGACUAGUUGUUGAUGUAAUGAUUUUUUUUCUUGAGAGAGUAUUUCAAAGAUUGUUUUGCUGUGAGGGCCUGCAGUGAAAACAUGAUAACUUGCAACAUAUGUGGUAAAACCUGCAGGAAUACGUUUGGACAUGUCAGGCACAUGCGAACUCAUAGUUGUCUGCCUAAUGCAUCUUUCAAGUGUGGUUUCCCUGAAUGCUGAUGUAAGUUUUGUUUAGCCAUAUUUCUUGUGUCUACAAUGAUUGUACAUGCAAUUCCAUUCUUAAUUUGGAUACUGUUGUCCAUGUUCUACAGAAUGUAACCCUAACCCUGACCCUCCCAACCAGUCCACGACUGAUUCUACUGGGGCUUGCUGCAGUUUUUGCCACGUUCUAUGUGUUCAACCUGCAAUACCAAGAAGAAGCUGCAAGGACACUGGAGUUUGUUCAAAGGCGCCUCAUUGGGAUUAAUCCCGAGAAGGGAAGAAAGACCAGCCAGGGGAAGGUGGUGUCAAAGAAGACGGGGAAGCUGGUCCACAAAAAGGCAACAACGGUGAAUCCUCAUGUGGCCACGCUGCUUUAUGGAUUUUGUACUGAUACUGAAAAUGUUCAGCUUUAAUAAAUGCCUAAUGUUGUAAGGCCAUCUCUUGUCUGAGCCAUUUCUGUCAUAGCUAUUUUCAUGUGUUAUUAUUAUUAU